This 1144-nucleotide ribosomal RNA is filed under the name bacterium 57. RNAcentral's name for it is "bacterial SSU rRNA". It matches the Rfam family "Bacterial small subunit ribosomal RNA", at positions 197 to 1329 of the family's 1533-position model. The record is from RNAcentral.
GAUUUGAAAGGCGCUUUCGGGUGUCGCUGAUGGAUGGACCCGCGGUGCAUUAUCUAGUUGGUGAGGUAACGGCUCACCAAGGCCACGAUGCAUAGCCGACCUGAGAGGGUGAUCGGCCACAUUGGGACUGAGACACGGCCCAAACUCCUACGGGAGGCAGCAGUAGGGAAUCUUCGGCAAUGGACGAAAGUCUGACCGAGCAACGCCGCGUGAGUGAAGAAGGUUUUCGGAUCGUAAAACUCUGUUGUUAGAGAAGAACAAGGAUGAGAGUAACUGUUCAUCCCUUGACGGUAUCUAACCAGAAAGCCACGGCUAACUACGUGCCAGCAGCCGCGGUAAUACGUAGGUGGCAAGCGUUGUCCGGAUUUAUUGGGCGUAAAGCGAGCGCAGGCGGUUUCUUAAGUCUGAUGUGAAAGCCCCCGGCUCAACCGGGGAGGGUCAUUGGAAACUGGGAGACUUGAGUGCAGAAGAGGAGAGUGGAAUUCCAUGUGUAGCGGUGAAAUGCGUAGAUAUAUGGAGGAACACCAGUGGCGAAGGCGGCUCUCUGGUCUGUAACUGACGCUGAGGCUCGAAAGCGUGGGGAGCAAACAGGAUUAGAUACCCUGGUAGUCCACGCCGUAAACGAUGAGUGCUAAGUGUUGGAGGGUUUCCGCCCUUCAGUGCUGCAGCUAACGCAUUAAGCACUCCGCCUGGGGAGUACGACCGCAAGGUUGAAACUCAAAGGAAUUGACGGGGGCCCGCACAAGCGGUGGAGCAUGUGGUUUAAUUCGAAGCAACGCGAAGAACCUUACCAGGUCUUGACAUCCUUUGACCACUCUAGAGAUAGAGCUUCCCCUUCGGGGGCAAAGUGACAGGUGGUGCAUGGUUGUCGUCAGCUCGUGUCGUGAGAUGUUGGGUUAAGUCCCGCAACGAGCGCAACCCUUAUUGUUAGUUGCCAUCAUUCAGUUGGGCACUCUAGCAAGACUGCCGGUGACAAACCGGAGGAAGGUGGGGAUGACGUCAAAUCAUCAUGCCCCUUAUGACCUGGGCUACACACGUGCUACAAUGGGAAGUACAACGAGUUGCGAAGUCGCGAGGCUAAGCUAAUCUCUUAAAGCUUCUCUCAGUUCGGAUUGCAGGCUGCAACUCGCCUGCAUGAAGCCGG